CAGAGUGAACGUAUAUGCGUCAAGUGUCGGUGGGACGGGGAGUUGCCCAUUGAACGAAAACCAUAAGGUUGCGGUGCAUGCGUUGAAUCCC
Molecule: non-coding RNA, 91 nt
Filed under: pig gut metagenome
Description: THF riboswitch
Rfam family: THF (Tetrahydrofolate) riboswitch aptamer
About the family: THF riboswitch presents a pseudoknot that joins P1-P2 and the loop of P3 and two THF binding.
Source: RNAcentral